GUGAUGUUUCCUUCCGCAGUGUACGCUUAUUGAAGCCUUUGCAGCCACGCAAGUGGUAGACCCGGACGACUUUCCAAUAAACAAACCGGCGUCGCGAUGCAAGUCAGCCUCCGGGCUGGCGACACUUUCGAAUUGGCGGGGACACCCUAAAGCCGAUCGCACCAACCCGGUGGGGGAAACCUCCCGGGGGCCCGUGUUAACCGCACGGGGGAUGGUAACAGACGAUCCGGAUAGUCCUGCCCGCGUGGCAGGGAGCAUGGGUAAUCCGCAGCGAAGCCCCUACGUCCCCCUCUCGGGGGGAUACGGGGAACGUUCACAGACUAAGUGGAAGUGGGUGGGGGCCUCCGGGUCCCCGCUUAAGAUAUAGUCGGGCCCCCUGGGAGACCAGGGGGGGCAAGUACACUGCACUGCCCUCGAAACCGUUCCGUAGGUGAACCUGCGGAAGGAUCAUUACCGAGUGCGGGCCCUCUGGGUCCAACCUCCCACCCGUGUUUAUCGUACCUUGUUGCUUCGGCGGGCCCGCCGUCAGGCCGCCGGGGGGCGUCUCGCCCCCGGGCCCGCGCCCGCCGAAGACACCAUCGAACGCUGUCUGAAGGUUGCCGUCUGAGUCGAUUAUCAAAUCGUUAAAACUUUCAACAACGGAUCUCUUGGUUCCGGCA
This 659-nucleotide unclassified non-coding RNA is filed under the name Hamigera terricola. RNAcentral describes it as "sequence contains 18S rRNA gene, ITS1, 5.8S rRNA gene, ITS2, 28S rRNA gene". The stretch from base 21 to 391 matches the Rfam family "Group I catalytic intron". From Rfam's summary of the family: Group I catalytic introns are large self-splicing ribozymes. They catalyse their own excision from mRNA, tRNA and rRNA precursors in a wide range of organisms. The record is from RNAcentral. Lineage: Eukaryota; Fungi; Ascomycota; Eurotiomycetes; Eurotiales; Aspergillaceae.